RNAcentral lists this unclassified non-coding RNA (343 nucleotides) under soil metagenome. Its description in RNAcentral is "partial contains 5.8S ribosomal RNA, internal transcribed spacer 2, and large subunit ribosomal RNA". The stretch from base 1 to 120 matches the Rfam family "5.8S ribosomal RNA", at positions 35 to 154 of the family's 154-position model. The record is from RNAcentral.
GAUGAAGAACGUAGUGAAAUGCGAUAAGUAAUGUGAAUUGCAGAAUUCAGUGAAUCAUCGAAUCUUUGAACGCACAUUGCGCCCGCUAGUAUUCUGGCGGGCAUGCCUGUCCGAGCGUCAUUUCAACCCUCAAGCCCCCGGGCUUGGUGUUGGGGAUCGGCGAGCCUCCGCGCCCGCCGUCCCCUAAAUCUAGUGGCGGUCUCGCUGUAGCUUCCUCUGCGUAGUAGCACACCUCGCACUGGGAAACAGCGCGGCCACGCCGUUAAACCCCCAACUUCUGAACGUUUGACCUCGGAUCAGGUAGGAAUACCCGAUGAACUUAAGCAUAUCAAUAAGCGGAGGA